This 389-nucleotide ribosomal RNA is filed under the name uncultured bacterium. RNAcentral's name for it is "bacterial SSU rRNA". It matches the Rfam family "Bacterial small subunit ribosomal RNA", at positions 30 to 442 of the family's 1533-position model. The record is from RNAcentral.
AUUGAACGCUGGCGGCAUGGCUAAAACAUGCAAGUCGAACGGACCUCGCAAGAGGUUAGUGGCGGAAGGGUCAGUAAUACGAUCGAAUGUACCCCGAGGUGGGGGAUAGGCACGGGAAACUGUGCGUGAUACCCCAUUAGCACCUAGGUGGAAAGAUUUAUCGCCUUGGGAGCAGCGAUCGUCCUAUCAGGUAGUUGGCGGGGUAAAAGCCCACCAAGCCGAAGACGGGUAGCGGGUGUGAGAGCACGGCCCGCGACAUCGGGACUGAGACACUGCCCGGACUCCUACGGGAGGCUGCAGUAACGAAUAUUCCGCAAUGGACGAAAGUCUGACGGAGCAAUGCCGCGUGCAGGAUGAAGCGGUUUCGCCGUGUAAACUGCUGUCAGGGG